GACAACAUUCAAAUCAUGUUCAAAGUACCAGUUCUCGUCUGAUCACUGAAGUCAAGCAAUGUUGACCAUGGUUAGUACUUAGGUAGGUGACCGCUUGGAAAUAUCGUGUAAUGUUAUCC
This 119-nucleotide ribosomal RNA is filed under the name Acromyrmex echinatior (Panamanian leafcutter ant). Lineage: Eukaryota; Metazoa; Arthropoda; Insecta; Hymenoptera; Formicidae. The record is from RNAcentral.